CAGAGUCAAUGUGGAGGUUAUAUACAGGGGUACCAGUACAGAGUCAAUGUGGAGGUUAUAUACAGGGGGUACCGGUACAGAGUCAAUGUGGAGGCUAUAUACAGGGGGUACCGGUACAGAGUCAAUGUGGAGGCUAUAUACAGGGGGUACCAGUACAGAGUCAAUGUGGAGGAUAUAUACAGGGGGUACCAGUACAGAGUCAAUGUGGAGGUUAUAUACAGGGGGUACCGGUAUAGAGGCAAAGUGGAGGUUAUAUACAGGGGAUACCGGUAUAGAGGCAAUGUGGAGGAUAUAUACAGGGGGUACCAGUACAGAGUCAAUGUGGAGGUUAUAUACAGGGGGUACCGGUAUAGAGGCAAAGUGGAGGAUAUAUACAGGGGGUGCCGGUACAGAGGCAAUGUGGAGGAUAUAUACAGGGGGUACCGGUAUAGAGGCAAAGUGCGGGGGCACCAGUUAAUCGAGGUAAUAUGUACAUGUAGUUAGAGUUAUUAAAAUGACUAGCUGGUCAAAGAACUCAUCCUAGUAACAGGCC
Oncorhynchus tshawytscha (Chinook salmon) is the source of this 532-nucleotide long non-coding RNA. The record is from Ensembl. Lineage: Eukaryota; Metazoa; Chordata; Actinopteri; Salmoniformes; Salmonidae.